This 447-nucleotide ribosomal RNA is filed under the name uncultured bacterium. RNAcentral describes it as "bacterial SSU rRNA". It matches the Rfam family "Bacterial small subunit ribosomal RNA", at positions 355 to 825 of the family's 1533-position model. The record is from RNAcentral.
UGGGGAAUAUUGGACAAUGGGCGAAAGCCUGAUCCAGCCAUGCCGCGUGAGUGACGAAGGCCUUAGGGUUGUAAAACUCUUUCGUCGGGGACGAUAAUGACGGUACCCGAAGAAGAAGCUCCGGCUAACUUCGUGCCAGCAGCCGCGGUAAUACGAAGGGAGCUAGCGUUGUUCGGAAUCACUGGGCGUAAAGCGCACGUAGGCGGAUAGUUAAGUCAGGGGUGAAAUCCUGGGGCUCAACCCCAGAACUGCCUUUGAUACUGUUAGUCUCGAGUCCGAUAGAGGUGAGUGGAAUUCCUAGUGUAGAGGUGAAAUUCGUAGAUAUUAGGAAGAACACCAGUGGCGAAGGCGGCUCACUGGAUCGGUACUGACGCUGAGGUGCGAAAGCGUGGGGAGCAAACAGGAUUAGAUACCCACGUAGUCCCUGAGCGGGCUGGCAAGGCGCAU